AAUGUUUGACGCCAUUGACUUUUUAGCACAUGUUUGACCGUUUGUCUUAUUCAAAAAAUUUAAGUAAUUAUUAAUUCUUUUCCUAUCAUUUGAUUCAUUAUUAAAUAUAUUUUUAUGUAGGCAUAUAAUUUUACAUAUUUCACAAAAAAAAUUGAAUAAGACGAACGGUCAAAUAUGUGCUAAAAAGUCAACGGUGUCAAACAUU
Molecule: microRNA precursor, 205 nt
Filed under: Oryza nivara
Lineage: Eukaryota; Viridiplantae; Streptophyta; Magnoliopsida; Poales; Poaceae
Description: MIR812 microRNA precursor family
Rfam family: MIR812 microRNA precursor family
Source: Rfam by way of RNAcentral